UGAGGAAUAUUGCACAAUGGGCGCAAGCCUGAUGCAGCGACGCCGCGUGUGGGAUGAAGGGGCUACGCCUCGUAAACCACUGUAGCCCGGGACGAAAAACGCCUUAGAGGCGUUAGACGGUACCGGGAAAGUAAGGGUCGGCUAACUACGUGCCAGCAGCCGCGGUAAUACGUAGGACCCAAGCGUUGUCCGGAUUUACUGGGUGUAACGGGUGCGCAGGCGGAUGGGUAAGUCAGGGGUGAAAGUCUGCAGCUUAACUGUAGA
Molecule: ribosomal RNA, 264 nt
Filed under: uncultured bacterium
Lineage: Bacteria
Description: partial 16S ribosomal RNA
Rfam family: Bacterial small subunit ribosomal RNA
Source: RNAcentral